GAUGAACGCUGGCGGCGUGCUUAACUCAUGCAAGUCGAACGGAAAGGCCCAAGCUUGCUUGGGUGCUCGAGUGGCGAACGGGUGAGUAACACGUGGGUGAUCUGCCCUGCACUUUGGGAUAAGCCUGGGAAACUGGGUCUAAUACCGGAUAGGACCAUCGUUUAGUGUCGGUGGUGGAAAGUUUUUCGGUGUGGGAUGAGCUCGCGGCCUAUCAGCUUGUUGGUGGGGUAAUGGCCUACCAAGGCGUCGACGGGUAGCCGGCCUGAGAGGGUGUACGGCCACAUUGGGACUGAGAUACGGCCCAGACUCCUACGGGAGGCAGCAGUGGGGAAUAUUGCACAAUGGGCGCAAGCCUGAUGCAGCGACGCCGCGUGGGGGAGGACGGCCUUCGGGUUGUAAACUCCUUUCGCCAAGGACGAAGCGUUUUGUGACGGUACUUGGAGAAGAAGCACCGGCUAACUACGUG
Molecule: ribosomal RNA, 466 nt
Filed under: uncultured bacterium
Lineage: Bacteria
Description: partial 16S ribosomal RNA
Rfam family: Bacterial small subunit ribosomal RNA
Source: RNAcentral